GAUGAACGCUGGCGGCGUGCCUAAUACAUGCAAGUCGAGCGAACAGACGAGGAGCUUGCUCCUCUGACGUUAGCGGCGGACGGGUGAGUAACACGUGGAUAACCUACCUAUAAGACUGGGAUAACUUCGGGAAACCUGAGCUAAUACCGGAUAAUAUAUUGAACCACAUGGUUCAAUAGUUAAAUACGGUUUUGCUGUCACUUAUAGAUGGAUCCGCGCCGCAUUAGCUAUUUGGUAAGGUAACGGCUGACCAAGGCGACGAUGCGUCGCCGACCUGAGAGGGAGAACGGCCACACUGGAACGGAGAAACGGCCCAGACUCCUACGGGAGGCAGCAGUAGGGAAUCUUGCGCGAUGGGGGAAAGCCUGACGGAGCAACGCCGCGUGAGUGAUGAAGGUCUUCGGAUCGAAAAACUCUGUUAUUAGGGAAGAACAAAUGUGUAAGUAACUAUGCACGUAUUGACGGUACCUAAUCAGAAAGCCACGGCUAACUACGUG
This 497-nucleotide ribosomal RNA is filed under the name uncultured bacterium. Its description in RNAcentral is "partial 16S ribosomal RNA". It matches the Rfam family "Bacterial small subunit ribosomal RNA", at positions 28 to 507 of the family's 1533-position model. The record is from RNAcentral.